This 803-nucleotide long non-coding RNA is filed under the name Gallus gallus (chicken). RNAcentral describes it as "lncRNA (ENSGALG00010004532.1)". Lineage: Eukaryota; Metazoa; Chordata; Aves; Galliformes; Phasianidae. The record is from RNAcentral.
CGCGGAGCCGCCGCGGGGCUGCGGGUUGCGGGCACGCGUGGGCUAAACCGGGGCAAAAGCGGUCCAGAUAAAGCAAGGCCUGGCCGCGGUCAGCCUUUAAAAAGGUUAAAUAAAUACGAAUGGACGAAGAUAACGCUCCCGGCCCGGAAAGCACAGUUAUGUACGGCACCAACCUACACGACGAGGAAGAGGGGAUUUGUAACAGUUCAAGAGUCUGAAAGCAGAUGAAAACCGCCGUGGAUACACUGAGCUUCCCCGUUCGGCAGCGCCUCGUAACUUUCCUUGAAAGAACCGACUGUGCCAAAAUACAAUACUACCGUGAGUAAAUGCCUCCUGCACUUUUAAAUAAUAACCUACAAUUCAACAAAACAGCUUCACAUCAGAAUGGUAUUAAAUACUCACUUGUUUACGCCUCGUACCUGAAAUGCAUCCUCUCUGCACGCUGCAUUGGUGACCCUACUGAGCCUGCCACUGGAGAGCUCCUUACGGCUGGUGUAGCUGGUGUCACCUGCCCACACCAGGCACCAAAUUCCAAGCCGUGUGUUUCAAUCCUGAGCCUUUCUUUACAUUUUUCAGUGCACCCUUUGGUACAGAAUGCAGAUGUCUUCCCACUCAGCCCAAAAUAAACCACUUCUCCUUUUGCUUUCUUCUCACGAUGGUGGAAAGCAGUGUAGAAUUAGAAAUCUAUACUACUCAAAGUACCACCAGCAUUGGCAAGUUCAUGUUUUAUAAAAGUAUGAGGAUCGGUUCACCUCUAAUAUACUUAUUAGCAAUCUUCCACAGGCAGAAGAGCUAAAUCCAAG